Drosophila pseudoobscura is the source of this 951-nucleotide long non-coding RNA. RefSeq lists it as uncharacterized. The record is from RefSeq and is a predicted model, not a curated record. Lineage: Eukaryota; Metazoa; Arthropoda; Insecta; Diptera; Drosophilidae. The transcript is spliced from 2 exons.
UCCAACAGCACGAAAUGUGCAAAGUUGGCUGCGCAUGUUAAUGUAAGAUGGCGGCUCUGUAAGCUAUUUACACAAAUGCAUAAAAACAAACAAAAUUUUGUUACCAAUUACCCAUAGGACUAAAUAUUAUUAAGACUUGUUAAUCAAUACAAAUAUCGUUCUGCAGCCGUUGUAAUAAAAUCUGCAAAUAUAUAGUGCAUUAUCAGCCGCAGCCAGGUUCAAUCCAGAAGCUGUUAACGUAACAGCUGAUCUAACAGCUUCAUUUAUCGUGUCGCAUCCCUAGCUUGCUCUGUGAAAUUCGCGUAGUUUUAAGAAAAUAAACUAAUAAAAUGCCAUUGCUUCACUCCAUCGUUAUCAUCAUCGAUACACACAUGCAGACGUAGACGAAUUCGCGGGAUGUGUGCCACAGCAGCCACUUUUAUUGAUGCGCACUGAAAUUUUAGAGAUGCUAGUCCAACGAAUCGCACUAUCCGUCAUAGCUUGGUCCUUGGAAGAGUCUCAUGUCGACCAUCAAUCAAUGUCGGCAGCCUCGUGCCAUGUGGAGACACUUAUACGCUAUCACAAGAGACACCCUGGGACACGGACAAAGCUGGGGAAAUAGAAGAGGAUAAUUCACUUAUGCCCGACUGUGCGUCAAUCCACUUACGUGCCUCCGAUGGGACUAAGCUUCGGAUGUAUCACAUUUGCCAGCAGCCUGCUGCGAGGCCAAAAGUUCAGCGAGGCGCUGGUGGUGGCUACGCUGAUAGGCCAACACUUUUUUACGGUUGGUCAGCUUGGUGCGAUGACGCUCCUGCAGGGAUAGAUUGUCCAGAGGCGCAUUCAAGUUCGACAAGCCAUCGAAAGUAUCAAAGUCUGCAGUUGGAAUUCGAUCCCAUUCGGGAGCUGGAAUCGGAGUCUUAUUUGCGAAGGUAACUUCAGUGACGGUUCGAAUAAAAAGCUAACUUGUUCCUA